Molecule: ribosomal RNA, 253 nt
Filed under: uncultured bacterium
Lineage: Bacteria
Description: partial 16S ribosomal RNA
Rfam family: Bacterial small subunit ribosomal RNA
Source: RNAcentral
UACGGAGGGUGCGAGCGUUGUCCGGAAUCAUUGGGCGUAAAGGGCGCGUAGGUGGCGCGGUAAGCGUGCGGUGAAAGCCUGGGGCUCAACCCCGGGUCGGCCGUGCGAACUGCUGGGCUUGAGCACUGUAGAGGCAGGCGGAAUUCCGGGUGUAGCGGUGGAAUGCGUAGAGAUCCGGAAGAACACCCGUGGCGAAGGCGGCUCUCUGGAACGCAACUGACGCUGAGACGCGAAAGCGUGGGGAGCAAACAGG